RNAcentral lists this ribosomal RNA (174 nucleotides) under Octaviania decimae. RNAcentral describes it as "partial 28S ribosomal RNA". It matches the Rfam family "Eukaryotic large subunit ribosomal RNA", at positions 1 to 168 of the family's 3401-position model. The record is from RNAcentral. Lineage: Eukaryota; Fungi; Basidiomycota; Agaricomycetes; Boletales; Boletaceae.
UUGACCUCAAAUCAGGUAGGACUACCCGCUGAACUUAAGCAUAUCAAUAAGCGGAGGAAAAGAAACUAACAAGGAUUCCCCUAGUAACUGCGAGUGAAGCGGGAAAAGCUCAAAUUUUGAAUCUGGCAGUCUUAAUUGAUUGUCCGAAUUGUAAUCUAGAGAAGCGUCUUCCGC